GUACAUUUUAGGAUGUUUUGCUGUUAAUAUCAAAUAAUACCAAAUGCACAUUAAUGUUUUGAUUAUAAAAAUAAUAAUGAACUAAAAAGUUACUCAAGAAAAGGGGAAGGAAAUGAAUUUUAGAGGACUUUCUAAAGUUGAGACAUACAUAACCAAAUUCUCAGAAAGACCAAAUUCCCAAUUCCUAGAUUUCUGAAGCUCGGUCCUAAUGCUUACGAUUUGGUUUCCCUCUCCAGUGCCAUUCCCCAGACUUAGUGUUACAUUGUGAAUACACGUGUAGUUGUGAAUGAUGUACAGUUUUCUGGAUUUGUACUAACAUAUCUUACUAAGUUCACACACUAGAAAGUGAAAGCUUGAUGUCAGAUCAGGGGUAAAGGUGAGAACAAAUGAAGCAUGAUGUAUUUCACUGAUUUAGUUAUUCCAGUCCUUUCUUCUCAAUGUUGUUACUCCUGCUUAUCUAAAACCCUUGUGUUAUUUCAUUCAGAAAUGGUCAAUUCUUGAGCUUCAAAGUCUUUUAAGAGAGUCUUAAUAUUUUUCAAAUUGUGAGGAAGAUAACACCUUAAGCUUUUGCCUCUCAGAAUUUGUGACAAAAACCACUGUAGGAACAAUUGAUCAUGAUCUUAAUUUAUAGAAAGAAACCAACCCUUUCUUAAAGAAAUAUGUUUGAAUGUUCCAAAAAUUUAAAACGCAAUCCUGUGAGUAUAAUGAACAUAUAUCCACAAUCUGUCAGUUUUAAUUUCUUUUUUUUAAAAAAAAAGUAUUUAGUUUUUAGUUGUAGUUGGACACAAUAUCUUUAUUUAUUUAUUUAUUUAUAUGUGGUGCUGAGGAUUGAACCCAGGGCCUCGCCCAUGCUAGGCAAGUGCUCUACCACUAAGCCACAAUCCUAGUCCCUUAAUUUAUUUUUAAUACAUAUAUAUUUUUUUACACUGGAGGUAGAAUGUGUUUUCAACCAAGCUCCCAACAUGAUUCAUUUUGAAGUUCUAGAUAACUCAGGUGACGUGGUAUUCCAGUUUGAAAAGACACUAUUCAGUAAGGUCCUAUUGGUGUUAGGUUGAGAGUACUGAAAGACCCUAGGAGAAGGCAUCAAAUGCCUUGGCCAAGAGGAGAUAUUGAGAGCCAGACACCUGAAAUAAGAGUUAUUGAAUAAUAAAUGGAGGCAAGGGGGAGAAUAUCCUGAACACUUAUGUCAUUUUACAAGUGCUUACAUCCACGUAGCUAUACUCUCUGUGCAGAGGCUGAGAGAGCUUCAUUGUCUUGGCACUUGUCCCUCUUGAUAAGCUGGGACAGCUUGAUAAGCUGUAAUCAGUUUAAGUAAUUUUCACAUGUUAAUGACCAAGAGGAUAAAAUUCAUAAUAAGCUACAGGAUAGUUAUUGUAAGACUGAGAUUGUCACCCUUAAUCUUUUUUUUUAAAUAGAUAUAUUUUUAGUGUGGAUUAACCUUUAUAUUUAUUUGUUUAUAUGUGGUACUGAGAAUCAAACACAGUCCUUCACAUAUACUAGGCAAGCACUCUACCACUGAGCCACAACCACAGCCCAUCACUUUUAAUCUUUUUCUAACAUUCCCAUUUUUGAUAAACAUAAAAAUUUCACAUCACACACAUGCUACUUAUAGACAUUCCCAAAUCUUCCUAAACCCUAUUCCCUUUUUCAAACAUACACCAAAAAUUAUUUGAAAAUCAACAACCCCACCUGGAAUCCAAAAACUACAUUGAAGCUUUACUUACCCUGUUUCAUAUUGUAGAAAUUAUGACAUUGUUUCAUUUUUAAUUGCAAAAUACAUUAAAGUGGUAUUUUUCAUACUGUACCCCUUUGAACUACAUAAUCUUCUUUUUCUCUAGGGAAUGUUUUACCCCUAGCCAGCACCUUGUUGUACUUCAUCUUAACAAUUCAACCAUGUCUGUUGGAAAAUGAAGAGAGUGUUUCCACAUUGAAAUGCACUCUCAACACUUUAGACUAGUUAUUCUAUUUCAGUGUCUCAGGUUCUGAAUUUACAGUCAAGGAGAUUAGUGAAAUGUGGCAAUUAUCUUAGUAGAAUAAAUACCCCUUAUGACAAAGGAGCACCUUGUGGCAGUUGUCCUGGACAUUGUGAAGAUGGACUAUGCACCAAUGGUUGUGAUUAUGAAGAUGGCUAUGCUAACUGUCAAG
Molecule: long non-coding RNA, 2145 nt
Organism: Marmota monax (woodchuck)
Lineage: Eukaryota; Metazoa; Chordata; Mammalia; Rodentia; Sciuridae
Exons: 3
Source: RefSeq, a predicted model, not a curated record